RNAcentral lists this ribosomal RNA (436 nucleotides) under uncultured soil bacterium. RNAcentral describes it as "bacterial SSU rRNA". It matches the Rfam family "Bacterial small subunit ribosomal RNA", at positions 26 to 518 of the family's 1533-position model. The record is from RNAcentral.
AGAACGAACGCUGGCGGCAUGCCUAAUACAUGCAAGUCGGACGAACUCUUCGGAGUUAGUGGCGCACGGGUGCGUAACGCGUGGGAAUCUGCCCUUGGGUUCGGAAUAACAGUUGGAAACGACUGCUAAUACCGGAUGAUGACGAAAGUCCAAAGAUUUAUCGCCCAGGGAUGAGCCCGCGUAGGAUUAGCUAGUUGGUGAGGUAAAGGCUCACCAAGGCGACGAUCCUUAGCUGGUCUGAGAGGAUGAUCAGCCACACUGGGACUGAGACACGGCCCAGACUCCUACGGGAGGCAGCAGUAGGGAAUAUGGACAAUGGGCAAAGCCUGAUCCAGCAAUGCCGCGUGAGUGAUGAAGCCUUAGGUGUAAAGCCUUUACCGAGAUGAUAAUGACAGUAUCGGAGAAUAAGCCCGGCUAACUCCGCGCCAGCAGCCGC